GGUGUGGGGUGGGGAAGAAGAGAGAGCAGACACAAAUAGGCCUUCCGCACCCCUCAGGUUUCUCACCAGCUACCCACAUGCCCCACCAGGGCCACACGUGUCCUAAGCCUGGGAGGCGUGACAGGGCAGCCAAUCCAAACACUGGACAUGCAUCAGCCCUGCGGCAGGGGUGGGAGUGUUUAAUCACUGAGUUCCGAGAGGGGCUGCGAAAGAGGAAAUGAGUCAAGAAUGGUUGCCACGGCAACCACUCAGUGGAGUCCUGCAUCUGUGCUGUCGGGAGAGGCUGUGGGCCGGGCCCAGGGUGCAGAGGCAGCUGGGAGGCAAAGCCCCGGGGCAGUCGCAUUCCUGGUGGCUCCUCUGGUCUCAGCCUGGCACCCCGGGUCCUGUCCAGGCUGCUGGCAUGUAUGGCGAACCCGGUGCUGCCUGGAGUCUCCCUCUGGCCCCAGGAGCUGGACGUGCCUGGAGGUGGACGAUCCAGAGCCCUGGACAAGAAGGCUGUAUCUGGGGACAAGCGGCCAGCUUCCCCUCCUCAAGGUGGGGUGUGGCCCAGGCCUGAGGGAUAUCUACUGUCUCCCCGAGGCCCCCAGUGCUGUCUCGGCUUCUGCCCUCCCCAACCCCCUCCUGGGGUGCCAGGGGUCCCCUCCCACACCAACUGUCCUGGAAUCUGAGAUUCACCCAAGGAAGCCUCCUGCUCUCGCUUCUCCGCAGUCCCCUCACCCCUUCUCUCUUUCUGGGGCCCCAAAGCAUCGCUCUCCAGGGCAGAGGGCGGGGCGGGCCUCCCGCUGACUGUGGCGUGGCAGGCAGGGGGCAGAAGGCAGAGCUGGAGGAGGGGUACCUCAGGAGGCAUGAGCAGGCUGGGCGCUCACUGCACCGACCCAUCCCGUGUUGGAGACCUUGGCCAGUGCCCUAGAUGGCUGGUGUGCCCCCCUAGGCCCAGGACAAUGGAGCCCGCCAGUUACAUAAAGCCUCCUUACAUAACCGGGGUGAAGACACAAGAAGAGCCAGGCAAGUCAAAACAACGGCAGCCGGGUGGGAAGGCCCCGCGGACAAACACCGGGAGUGAUCUUUGUUCUUCAUACCCUUUGGUUUAGCUCUCACUUCGUACACCGGACUUCACGUGUGUGUUCACAGACACACAGGUGCGGCAGAUCCCUCCCCGGAGAGGGUGGUGAUGGGAAUCGGAAGUCGCGUUUAACUUCUUCCGUAAGCAGGACCCUCAGACAAGUGCACCAGAAAGCCAGUCCGAUGGGCUCACCUAGCCAGUCCGACAGGCUCUCUCGGCCGGCCGCUGGCCUCUGGCUGUCUGGCCAGGAGCUGGGGACAUUCAGAUUGUUGUUGAGUGAGUCCUUCAGGAGUCACACCACUGCUCGUUGCCAUCCCCUACGUAAGGGCUGGAUGGGUGUGGGAGUCCCUGCCGUCAGAGUUUGCUACCAAAACUUCCCCUGCCUGAGCUCAGGAACCGAAUGGACUGAGAUGCAGAGGAUACCGGCCUUCCGCAUGCACAUGGCGGCCUGUGGCGGGGCCAGCACACGUGGUCCUGCGCCUCCACAGCAGCCCCUCUGUCCUGACGGCGGUCCAGAGUGAGCCAGCUCACUGCCAUCACUGCUUCCAGGGCAGUGCCCACACCGGAGGACGCGGACUUCGACGUGAAUUCUGGGUCUGGCAUCUCAUUCUCUAUGCAUCCCUUUUCUCACCUGUAAAAUUACAAAAAUUAUAUCUAUUUCUUAGGGUUCUUCUGCAGAAUAAAAAUCAUAGAUGUGGA
Molecule: long non-coding RNA, 1762 nt
Organism: Pipistrellus kuhlii (Kuhl's pipistrelle)
Lineage: Eukaryota; Metazoa; Chordata; Mammalia; Chiroptera; Vespertilionidae
Exons: 3
Source: RefSeq, a predicted model, not a curated record